UACACGACCGUACCGCAAACCGACACUGGUGCGCGAGAUGAGUAUUCUAAGGCGCUUGAGAGAACUCAGGAGAAGGAACUCGGCAAAUUGACACCGUAACUUCGGAAGAAGGUGUGCCUUUAGUAGGUGAACCUGUACAAGGGGAGCCCAAUGAGGUUGCAAAAAAUCGGUGGCUGCGACUGUUUAAUAAAAACACAGCACUCUGCAAACACGAAAGUGGACGUAUAGGGUGUGACGCCUGCCCGGUGCUGGAAGAUUAAAUGAUGGGGUGCAAGCUCUUGAUUGAAGUCCCAGUAAACGGCGGCCGUAACGAUAACGGUCCUAAGGUAGCGAAAUUCCUUGUCGGGUAAGUUCCGACCUGCACGAAUGGCGUAACGAUGGCCACACUGUCUCCUCCUGAGACUCAGCGAAGUUGAAAUGUUUGUGAUGAUGCAAUCUCCCCACGGAAAGACGGAAGGACCCCAUGAACCUUUACUGUAGCUUUGUAUUGGACUUUGAACAGAUCUGUGUAGGAUAGGUGGGAGGCUUUGAAGUGUGGUCGCUAGAUCGCAUGGAGCCAACGUUGAAAUACCACCCUGGUGUGUUUGAGGUUCUAACCUAGGCCCGUAAUCCGGGUCGGGGACAGUGCAUGGUAGGCAGUUUGACUGGGGCGGUCUCCUCCCAAAGCGUAACGGAGGAGUUCCAAGGUACGCUAGGUACGGUCGGACAUCGUGCUAAUAGUGCAAUGGCAUAAGCGUGCUUAACUGCGAGACUGACAAGUCGAGCAGAUGCGAAAGCAGGACAUAGUGAUCCGGUGGUUCUGUAUGGAAGGGCCAUCGCUCAACGGAUAAAAGGUACUCUGGGGAUAACAGGCUGAUACCGCCCAAGAGUUCAUAUCGACGGCGGUGUUUGGCACCUCGAUGUCGGCUCAUCUCAUCCUGGGGCUGUAGCCGGUCCCAAGGGUAUGGCUGUUCGCCAUUUAAAGAGGUACGUGAGCUGGGUUUAAAACGUCGUGAGACAGUUUGGUCCCUAUCUUCCGUGGGCGCUGCAGAUUUGAGGAAGCCUGCUCCUAGUACGAGAGGACCGGAGUGGACACACCUCUGGUGUAUCGGUUGUCACGCCAGUGGCAUUGCCGAGUAGCUAUGUGUGGAAGAGAUAACCGCUGAAAGCAUCUAAGCGGGAAACUCGUUUCAAGAUGAGAUCUGCCGGGGCCUUGAGCCCCUAAAGAGUCGUUCAAGACCAGGACGUUGAUAGAUCGGGUGUGGAAGCGCAGUAAUGCGUUAAGCUAACCGAUACUAAUUGCUCGUGCGGCUUGACC
This 1297-nucleotide ribosomal RNA is filed under the name metagenome. Its description in RNAcentral is "bacterial LSU rRNA". It matches the Rfam family "Bacterial large subunit ribosomal RNA", at positions 1635 to 2925 of the family's 2925-position model. The record is from RNAcentral.